Molecule: ribosomal RNA, 1489 nt
Filed under: metagenome
Description: bacterial SSU rRNA
Rfam family: Bacterial small subunit ribosomal RNA
Source: RNAcentral
AGAGUUUGAUCCUGGCUCAGAACGAACGCUGGCGGCGCGUUUUAAGCAUGCAAGUCGAACGGUAGUAGGGUGCUUGCACCCUAUGAGAGUGGCGAACGGGUGAGUAACACGUAGGUAAUCUACCUUGAAGUUGGGGAUAGCCUGUGGAAACACAGAGUAAUACCGAAUGUCCUUGCUUCGGUGAGGAAAGAGGCUAAGGCCUCGCUUUGGGAUGAGCCUGCGGCUCAUUAGCUAGUUGGUGGGGUAAAGGCCUACCAAGGCGACGAUGAGUAGCCGACCUGAGAGGGUGAUCGGCCACACUGGGACUGAGAUACGGCCCAGACUCCUACGGGAGGCAGCAGCUAAGAAUCUUCCGCAAUGGCCGAAAGGCUGACGGAGCGACGCCGCGUGGACGAAGAAGGCCGGAAGGUUGUAAAGUCCUUUAUUGGAGAAGAAUAAUGUGGGGAGGGAAUGCCCUGCAGAUGACGUUAUCCGAUGAAUAAGCCCCGGCUAAUUACGUGCCAGCAGCCGCGGUAACACGUAAGGGGCAAGCGUUGUUCGGAAUUAUUGGGCGUAAAGGGCGCGUAGGCGGCUAUGAAAGUCUGGUGUGAAAGGCCACCGCUUAACGGUGGGAGUGCACUGGAAACUACAUGGCUAGAGUUCAAGAGGGGAAGCUGGAAUUCCUGGUGUAGGGGUGAAAUCUGUAGAUAUCAGGAAGAACACCUGUGGCGAAGGCGAGCUUCUGGCUAUGAACUGACGCUGAGGCGCGAAAGCGUGGGGAGCGAACAGGAUUAGAUACCCUGGUAGUCCACGCUGUAAACGAUGUGCACUAGGUGUUGGCUGUUGUAACGGUCAGUGCCGAAGCAAACGCGAUAAGUGCACCGCCUGGGGAGUAUGCUCGCAAGGGUGAAACUCAAAGGAAUUGACGGGGGCCCGCACAAGCGGUGGAGCAUGUGGUUUAAUUCGAUAUACGCGAGGAACCUUACCAGGGCUUGACAUAUGCAUGACGAUCAUAGAGAUAUGGUUUCCCUUCGGGGCGUGUAUACAGGUGCUGCAUGGUUGUCGUCAGCUCGUGCUGUGAGGUGUUGGGUUAAGUCCCGCAACGAGCGCAACCCCUGCUGUCUGUUGCCAGCAUUUAGGAUGGGAACUCAGACGGUACUGCCGGUGACAAACCGGAGGAAGGUGGGGACGACGUCAAAUCAUCAUGGCCCUUAUGUCCUGGGCUACACACGUGCUACAAUGGUUGGUACAGAGCGAUGCAAAACCGCGAGGUGGAGCAAAUCGCAGAAAGCCGGCCUCAGUACGGAUUGGAGUCUGAAACUCGACUUCAUGAAGUUGGAAUCGCUAGUAAUCGCGCAUCAGCAUGGCGCGGUGAAUACGUUCCCGGGCCUUGUACACACCGCCCGUCACACCACCCGAGUUGGGGGUACCCGAAGUCGCUCGUCUAACCGUUUACGGAGGACGGUGCCGAAGGUAUGUCUGGUAAGGGGGGUGAAGUCGUAACAAGGUA